AGAAUCAACGCUGGCGGCGUGCCUAACACAUGCAAGUCGCACGAGAAAGGGUAGCAAUACCUGAGUAAAGUGGCGCACGGGUGAGUAACACGUGAAUGAUCUACCUCCGAGUGGGGAAUAACUGAGAGAAAUCUUAGCUAAUACCGCAUAACACUUACGAGUCAAAGCAGCAAUGCGCUUGGGAGAGGGAGUUCGCGGCCGAUUAGUUAGUUGGCGGGGUAAUGGCCCACCAAGACGAUGAUCGGUA
This 247-nucleotide ribosomal RNA is filed under the name uncultured bacterium. RNAcentral describes it as "partial small subunit ribosomal RNA". It matches the Rfam family "Bacterial small subunit ribosomal RNA", at positions 26 to 285 of the family's 1533-position model. The record is from RNAcentral.